CACUUACCAUCCCUUACCUUGACUUUUCCAUUUAUUGAUUUCUUGGAAGAGGUUCCACAUCUAUGCGUGUGGAUCCAUUGCAUUCUUGUAACAGCCACAUCCUAAUCCACUAAAUGGAUUUACCAUAAUUAAUUUAGCACAUUUCCAGCACAGUCAUUUCCAAUAGCUCUUCUCUGGGAACUUAAUCUAAUUUUUACACAUUUAAAUGUAAUUACUGACUUAUCACAUUUGAAGCACAGACAGCCCCCAACUUAGGAUUUUUCGACUUCACAAUGGUGUAAAAGAGACACCAUUCAGCAGAAACUGCACUUGGAGUUGUGAAUUUUGAUCUUGUCCCAGGCUAGUAAUCCAUGGCCCGAUACUCUCGUGAUGCUGGGUGGCAGCAGCAAGCUCAGCACCCAAUCAGCCACCAGAUCAUAAUCAACAUACGUACAACCAUUCUGCACCCACAAAACCAUUCUGUUUUUCCCUUUCAGCACAGUGUUCAAUAAAUUGCAGGAGCUAUUCAACAUUUUAUUGUAAAAUACGUUAGAAGAUGCUGCCCAACUGCAGGCUAACACAAGUGUUCUGAGCACAUUUAAGGUAGGCUAGGCUAAGUGGUGAUGUUGAAAAUGUAUUUUCAACAAAUGGUAUUUUCAUCUUAUGAAGGGUUUUUUGGAACAUAACCCCAAUGUAAGUUGAAGAUCUAAUUAGUUGCUAAGGAGCCUUUCUUCAAGUCCUCUGGCGACAAAACUUUAGAACCUUGCUAUCUUUUUGGAAUAAGGCUUUCUUCUCAAAGAAAUUUAUGUUUCAAUUUGACAAACUCUAAAAGACUCAGCUGACCCCUAGCCCUUGCAUCUCGUAAUCCCCACAGCACUGGCCUCUUUAGCACCAAAAGGAACAAUCUUCACUCUCAAGAGGAGAAAAACUAGGACCUGCUAGUGCAUCACUGGAACCAGAAAUCACUGGACCUCACCACCAGCAAGAGGGGUUAGACACUUCCCUGGAGUCUGGUAGGAAACUGCUGGAUCCUGUGUUCUUACACACCACUCUGACCAACAAAAGUUCCUUCUCCAAGACCACACAGCCUAAACCCCCAGGGGGAAAAGAGGUGUUUCCUCUCUGCUCCUCCACUUCAAAGGUGGCUCACCCUCCAGGGUAGCACUUGGGAGCGUUUAUUUGAGGCUGAACUUUCAAAGAGCUUUCCUGCGUGUAAGAAUCUCCCCACAUGUAAGUUCCAUUUCCCCAAGAUCAAAUCCAGAACUCGAUUUUCCGCCUAGCAGCUGUUCACAGUGCACAGGAUGAUAAACCCAGGAUAGUGCAAAGCAAGGAAGCAGUUGUCACCCGGAACACUCUUUCCGGUCAGAAAGGAAGAGAGUGGCUGAGAGCCCUGAGCACCCCAGGCUGGCAGGGCAGCAGGGUCUCUGCUGAGUUCAUUCAGUUCUGUUACUCACAUCUCAGAAUGAAGACUGAUCAUUUACCUCAUCUUUGUUUCUCUUUCCCUCAUAGGCUCCCCACCCCCACCCCCACAACCGUAAAUUCAAUUUCACUCAAAAUCAGAGAAAUGCAAAGCAAAUAAGAGAAAUACCAUUUUCUAAUUACCAGAUUGGCAAAGAUGAAAAAGAUCGAUGAACUGCCUUCGUCUGAACAUGAGAAAACAUGCUUCUAGUGGGAGACUAAACCGUACAUUUACAAAGAGAAUUGGGCUACGAACAAUCAAGUGUGACACGCAAAACUCUCGACCCAUCGAUUUCACCAAUAUAAUUUAUCUUAUAGACCAGAGGUGAGCAAAUUUUUUCUUUAAAGGACCAAGUAGGGAGUUCCUGUAGUGGCUCAGUGGUAAACAAACCUGACUAGUAUCCAUGAGGAUUCGGGUUCCAUUCCUGGCCUUGCUCAGUGGGUCAGGGAUCCCGCAUUGCUCUGAGCUGUGGUGUAGGUUGCAGACAUGGCUGGGAUCCCACGUUGCUGUGGCUGUGGUGUAGGCAGGCAGCUAUUGCUCCAACUGGACCCCUAGCCUGGGAACUUCCAUAUGCUGUGGGUGCGGCCCCAAAAAGACAAAUAAAUAAAUAAAUAACCAGGUAGUAAAUAGUUUAAGCCUCCAGGCCAGAUAUCACAGCUGAAUAUACUCUGCUUCUCUGCUCCUCUGCUGUUGUGUCUUGAAAGCAGCCACAGACAUUAGGUCAACAAGUGGGCACAGCUGUUUUCCAAUAAAACUUUAUUUACAAAAACAAAUGGCAUGUUGAAUUUGGCCCGCAGGCUGUGGAGUGCCAAUCCCUGCUAGGUACCCUUGCACAAAAACCAAAAACUUAUAUACUAUAGUCUUCAUAGCAAUAGCCUGAAAUUGGAAAACACCUUGAUGUCUAUCAAGAGAGGACGAGAUGAGUAAAUUACAGCACAGCCACUCAACAGAAUGCUUGCAGCAACUGAAAAAGAGGGAGGCAGGUCUGCGUGCACUAAGGAUUAAUAUCCAAAAUUUAUUCCUUUUUUUUAAAGGUACCAAAGGCGAGGAGAGAGUGGGGUAGACUGGGAGUUUGGGGUUAGUAGUUGCAAACUACUGCAUUUGGAGCAGAUAAACAAUGAAAUCCUGCUGUAUAGCACAGGGAACUAUAUCCAAUCAUUUGUGAUGGAACAUGAUAGAGGAUAAUGUGAGAAAAAGAAUGUACAUAUAUGUAUAACUGGAUCAUUUUGCUGUACUGCAGAAAUUGACAGAACAUUGUAAAUCAACUAUAAUUUAAAAAUUUUACUCCUGUAUAGCACUGGAAACUAUGUCUGGUCACUUGUGAUGGAGCCUGAUAAUGUGAGAAAAAAGAAUGUAUACAUGUAUGUGUGACUGGGUCACUUUGCUGUGCAGUAGAAAAUUGACAGAACACUGUAAAUCAGCUAUAAUGCAAAAAAUAAAAAUCAAUUUUUACAAAAAAAUUUAAAUAAAAUGCAAGGUGGACAGCAGAGUAGAAUAUGUUACAUCUUUCUUAAAAUAUAUAGGUACAUACAUAUGUACUAUGCUUAUUGAAGCAUAGUAUAUAUCUUACAGACACAAAAGAGAUUGGGGGAGAACUAGAUGGCUGGGAAACAGUAUGAGGGAAACUUUUUGUGCCCUUUCGAAUCAUACCUUACGCUUUACCAGUGAAGGACAAAUAAAUACAAUUUUAUAUACAUAUAAAAUUGUCUUUUUGCUAUUUCUUGGGCCACUCCUGCAGCAUAUGGAGGUUUCCAGGCUAGGGGUCUAAUCGGAGCUGUAGCUGCCAGCCUACACCACAGCCACAGCAACGCGGGAUCCGAGCCGUGUCUGCGACCUACACCACAGCUCACGGCAACGCUGGAUCAUUAACCCACUGAGCAAGGGCAGGGAUUGAACCCGCAACCUCAUGGUUCCUAGUCGGAUUUGUUAACCACUACGCCACGAUGGGAACUCCAAUACAAUUUAAUUUUUAAUGCAUAUACUUUUUUAGUAGUGUUUUAGAUCACCAAGUAUAAGUCUCCAGACAGCAGCCCUAGCUGUUUCCAAAGUCUCCUCCAGUGCCCAGACUAUCUGACUGGGGCCCAUCAAAGAGCAUCAUAGUGGGAAUCAGGAGGUCUGGGUUCAAGUCCAGCCUCUGCUACCAGCCCUCUGUGCUGCCCUGGACCAGUCACCUCAUCUCUCUGAUCAUCCCUUUCCUCCUCUGUAAAAUGGAGGCAAUAAUACUUUUGAGCUUCCUAAUAUAAAAUAAUGUUAUUGUUUUGGAGAAAUAGCUUAAUGUCUCUGGGCCUCUUUGCUAAUCUACAAAAUCAGAAAGUUGGACAAAAUGAGCCUUUGACUGUCAAAUACAUCAUUCUGAUAAUAAACAAACUUGUCAUUUGUAAGAAUUCAGUCAGAACCAUGAACCUGGCAUGCAAGUGAGGAGCUCCUUUUGUUUAUCUCAAGGAAAUGACCUCCAAGUCCACAAAGAAAAUAAGAUAAAUGUUUGCACUUAGAGAUCCAGUCCAGACUGCAGGUGGGAAAGAGCUGCCUUACUCCAAGGACCCACCUCUUCUUUCCUUCUUUCCCAACAAAGGCAACAGUUGUCAGCCAGGCAACUUCUUUUUUGGUUUUAAGUUUCCACUGGGUACGAAACAAACCCUGUUGGAAAAAAACUUAGGAAAUGUCACUCAUAAAGAGGAAUAGAUAAAUUAAUAAUGUCAAGUAAUAGACUCAGGAGGGCUGACAAAGAAAUGGAGGAAUCCUUCCACCCCCCCACCCCCGCACCCCAACUUCUGGCCUCUGCUAAGAGCUACCAUUUGCAUUGUUACAGGAAUUCCAGAGAGAUGACAGGGUGGUGACAAGGCAGAGCAGCUUUGCACUAUCCUAUUUCUGAGAAUUUCUGGUUAUUGUUAAACAAAAGUUUGGAGAAGUUAAACUGACAGGAAAAAACACACGGGUUGAGUUAUAAGGUGGCAAAUGUUGUGAAACCCAUUUUCAGAACAUUUCAACUGCAUGACAGUGUGCCGAUGUGAUAAGGAGCAGAGCUCUCAUCACCGUCUCGGAUGCUGGAAGACUCUUCCCUUUCCUUCCUCGGUUCCGUGGCCUUGGGAGUAACUACCAGCUGCUCUGAAAAGAAUGUGGCAAAGGCUCUUUGUGCCCCUAGCUUCAAAGAACGUUUGACUCGGAGUUCCCAUUGUGGCGCGGUGGAAAUGAAUCCAACUAGGAACCAUGAGGUUGCAGGUUCGAUCCCUGGCCUCGCUCAGUGGGUUAAGGAUCUGGCCUGGCUGUGGUGUAGGCUGGCAGCUGUAGCUCUGAUUAGACCCCUAGCCUGGGAACCUCCAAAUGCCACAGGAGCGGCCCUAAAAAAAAAAAAAAAAAAAAAAAAAAAAAA
Molecule: long non-coding RNA, 4808 nt
Filed under: Sus scrofa (pig)
Lineage: Eukaryota; Metazoa; Chordata; Mammalia; Artiodactyla; Suidae
Description: lncRNA (ENSSSCG00015048428.1)
Source: RNAcentral